This 204-nucleotide microRNA precursor is filed under the name Oryza nivara. RNAcentral's name for it is "MIR812 microRNA precursor family". It matches the Rfam family "MIR812 microRNA precursor family". Lineage: Eukaryota; Viridiplantae; Streptophyta; Magnoliopsida; Poales; Poaceae. The record is from Rfam by way of RNAcentral.
AAAAAGACAAACCCUGAUUUCCGUGCCCAACGUUUGAUCGUCCGUCUUAUUUGAAAAAAUUAUGAAAAAAAUUAAAAAGACAAGUCACGUAUAAAAUAUUAAUCAUAUUUUAUCAUUUAACAAUAAUAAAAAUACGAAUUAUAAAAAAAAUUUAUAUAAGACAGACAGUUAAAGUUGGACACGGAAACUCAGGAUUUGCUUUUU